RNAcentral lists this small nuclear RNA (212 nucleotides) under Cricetulus griseus (Chinese hamster). RNAcentral's name for it is "U2 spliceosomal RNA (ENSCGRG00001008202.1)". The stretch from base 1 to 106 matches the Rfam family "U2 spliceosomal RNA". Rfam says of the family: U2 is a small nuclear RNA (snRNA) component of the spliceosome (involved in pre-mRNA splicing). The record is from RNAcentral. Lineage: Eukaryota; Metazoa; Chordata; Mammalia; Rodentia; Cricetidae.
AUAAAAUUCUCAACCUAUUGGCUAAGACCAAGAGUAGUAUCUGUUCUUUUCACUUUAAUAUCUGAUACGUCCUUUAUCUGAGGACAUUUUUGUUGUGUUAUUUCUUUUCUUUUCUUUCUUCCUUCCCCCCCCCCCCCAGACAGGAUUUCUCUGUGGCUUUGGAGCCUAUCCUGGAACUCGCUCUUGUAGACCAGGCUGGUCUCGAACUCACA